This 520-nucleotide ribosomal RNA is filed under the name uncultured bacterium. RNAcentral's name for it is "bacterial SSU rRNA". It matches the Rfam family "Bacterial small subunit ribosomal RNA", at positions 21 to 518 of the family's 1533-position model. The record is from RNAcentral.
GGCUCAGGACGAACGCUGGCGGCGUGCCUAACACAUGCAAGUCGAACGGGGAUUUGUUUCGGCAGAAUCCUAGUGGCGAACGGGUGAGUAACGCGUAGGCAACCUGCCCUCCGGCCGGGGACAACACUCCGAAAGGGGUGCUAAUACCGGAUACGAAGUCUGUGCCGCAUGGUACGGAUUUGAAAGAUGGCCUCUAUUUAUAAGCUAUCGCCGGGGGAUGGGCCUGCGUCCGAUUAGCUGGUUGGUGGGGUAACGGCCUACCAAGGCGACGAUCGGUAGCCGGUCUGAGAGGAUGAACGGCCACAUUGGGACUGAGACACGGCCCAGACUCCUACGGGAGGCAGCAGUGGGGAAUCUUCCGCAAUGGGCGCAAGCCUGACGGAGCAACGCCGCCGUGAGUGAGGAAGUUCUUCGGAACGUAAAGCUCUGUUGUUCCUGACGAACCUCCCCUCUAUCAACAACGGAGGGGACUGACGGUAGGGAACGAGGAAGCCACGGCUAACUACGUGCCAGCAGCCGC